RNAcentral lists this ribosomal RNA (66 nucleotides) under Agrotis orthogonia. RNAcentral's name for it is "partial 28S ribosomal RNA". Lineage: Eukaryota; Metazoa; Arthropoda; Insecta; Lepidoptera; Noctuidae. The record is from RNAcentral.
UUUUAUCGUUGGCCUCAGAUCAGGAGGAUCACCCGCCGAAUUUAAGCAUAUCAAUAAGCGGAGGAA